GACGUAGGGCGCGAGCGUUGUCCGGAUUUAUUGGGCGUAAAGAGCUCGUAGGCGGCUUGUUGCGUCGACCGUGAAAACCCGGGGCUCAACUUCGGGCUUGCGGUCGAUACGGGCGGGCUAGAGUUCGGUAGGGGAGACAGGAAUUCCUGGUGUAGCGGUGAAAUGCGCAGAUAUCAGGAGGAACACCGGUGGCGAAGGCGGGUCUCUGGGCCGAUACUGACGCUGAGGAGCGAAAGCGUGGGGAGCGAACAGG
This 253-nucleotide ribosomal RNA is filed under the name uncultured bacterium. Its description in RNAcentral is "partial 16S ribosomal RNA". It matches the Rfam family "Bacterial small subunit ribosomal RNA", at positions 524 to 776 of the family's 1533-position model. The record is from RNAcentral.